UGGGACCUCUGGGCUUGGCUGUUCAUAGCCCCGACCCCUCUGGGCUUGCCGUGUCAGCUAUGAAAGUAAAAAUAUUGCUUGAGCCCCGGCAUCUAAUUUCUUGAGCCC
Molecule: long non-coding RNA, 108 nt
Organism: Chelonia mydas (Green sea turtle)
Lineage: Eukaryota; Metazoa; Chordata; Testudines; Cheloniidae
Exons: 3
Source: RefSeq, a predicted model, not a curated record